This 253-nucleotide ribosomal RNA is filed under the name uncultured bacterium. Its description in RNAcentral is "partial 16S ribosomal RNA". It matches the Rfam family "Bacterial small subunit ribosomal RNA", at positions 524 to 776 of the family's 1533-position model. The record is from RNAcentral.
UACGAAGGGGGCUAGCGUUGCUCGGAAUCACUGGGCGUAAAGCGCACGUAGGCGGCUUUCUAAGUCAGGGGUGAAAUCCUGGAGCUCAACUCCAGAACUGCCUUUGAUACUGGAGAGCUUGAGUCCGGAAGAGGUGAGUGGAACUCCGAGUGUAGAGGUGAAAUUCGUAGAUAUUCGGAAGAACACCAGUGGCGAAGGCAGCUCGCUGGGACGGUACUGACGCUGAGGCGCGAAAGCGUGGGGAGCGAACAGG